AGAUCUAGAACCGCUGCAGUGCCGAGCUUCCAGGGACGUGAAGCCGGAAAGCCAGGCGCCCUUCUUGACUGCGCCUAGGUGGAACUGGCCCUCCAGCAGCUUGAACGUAGCCUCUUUUCACACUGGUAGUUCCUGAACCUCUUGUGAAAUGAAAGAUGUUCCUCAUUCCAAGCUGAGGACGGAGAAAAGCCGUAAAGCUGACACUGGUCUUAAGACCCUCAUUUGAGAGAUGCCUUCCCUGUACCUGGAGGAAAGAAACAUCUUUAUCUCUGAAGACACAGGGCCACAGAGAAGAGUCUGAACAAACAGGCUUUACCAAUUUCCCCCAGUUGUUACCGUUAGAUCAGACCUUUGUCCAGUCAUAUCCUUCCACAAGUUGUCCACUCAUCAACCCUAAGCAUAAAAAUGCACAAGUUUCCUUGUUUGUUUGGGUCUUCAUUUCCAAGGGCUCCUAUGUCAUGUUAAACUUUUAAAUAAAUUUGCAUGCUUUUCUCUUGUGAAUCUGGUUUUUGUUAUAAGGGCCUUAGCCAUGAACCUAAG
Molecule: long non-coding RNA, 540 nt
Filed under: Homo sapiens (human)
Lineage: Eukaryota; Metazoa; Chordata; Mammalia; Primates; Hominidae
Description: non-protein coding lnc-URB2-1:9
Source: RNAcentral